UUUCCGUAGGUGAACCUGCGGAAGGAUCAUUAAUGAGUUGUCAUGGGGUUCGAUGCUGGCAGCCAAUUUUUGGAUGCAUGUGCUUGCCCUAACAAUCAUCUUCCAAACACCUGUGCACAUUUUUGAGGGAGUCUUGAGUUGGUUGCCGCUCUUGGGUGAUUUUCUCACAUUCCCUUAAAUCAUUAUACGCUAUUAACAAUGUUGAACGUGCUCUGUGCCGCAAGGCUAUUAAUAUAAUACAACUUUUAACAACGGAUCUCUUGGCUCUCGCGUCGAUGAAGAACGCAGC
Molecule: unclassified non-coding RNA, 289 nt
Filed under: plant metagenome
Description: partial contains small subunit ribosomal RNA, internal transcribed spacer 1, and 5.8S ribosomal RNA
Rfam family: 5.8S ribosomal RNA (bases 241-289)
Source: RNAcentral